RNA transcript from Oryza brachyantha (malo sina), 2118 nucleotides. RefSeq lists it as uncharacterized. The transcript is spliced from 3 exons. The record is from RefSeq and is a predicted model, not a curated record. NCBI's taxonomy places the organism in Eukaryota, Viridiplantae, Streptophyta, Magnoliopsida, Poales, Poaceae.
ACAGAGAGCAGAAAAGAAGCCCCUCCUCUUCUCCUCCUCGCGACACGCAUCAUUCUUCUUCCUCUCCCCCACGAGAUUCGAAUCUCGCGAGCAGUUUCUUCCUCCCCGUUUGGAUCGGAUUUGAGCGAGCGAGUGGUAGCGGCGGGGGAGUUUUCGCUUCCUUGUGCUGAAAAAAGGAGAAAAAAACACGUCAUUUUCGUUUUAGGGCGGCGGGCUCGUGUGGUUCCUUCGGGUUCUUUGAGCCAUGGAGGAGAGUUCUUGCGGCAGGGUGGAGUAGUGUAGUGGCAGAUCUUGGGGGGGGGGGGGGUGAGGCUUUUGCAGUGGCUGGUGUGAGUGAUUCUGGGCUUACUUGGGAGCUUGGUUGUUUCGUUUCGCCUCCCGAUUUGGUGGUGCUUUGAUGAAGAACCUAUUGAUUCUGGUUGGAUGAUUUUUGAGCGACUCCUGAUUGUUUUGUUGAUUCGUAUUUCAUUGAUUGAUUAGGGCUUAGGGAGAAAAAGAUAGUAUUUGUGGCUAUUUGUGAGCAAUUUUUGUUCUCCUCCACCUAGCCUAGUUAGUUGCUGUACCCGCUAUCUGUGAGCAGUGUUUGCUUGUGUUCUAAUUUUGGUAGAAAAAUAUCUUAAUUGGAUCUCGCUGUAGCAAAAAAAAAAAGAUUGGAUUUUGAGUGUGAUUUUUCGAUUCUUGUUGGAUCCGGCGAUUUUUAUCCGGAUCAAGAAGAGGGGGAGAAUUCUUGGCUUUCUCUUCCACUAGCGGCCAUGGGGCUGAGCCGCUUCUCCCACUGGAUAUGGCCUGGGAGUAGAACCCGGCGAGCUCGCGAUGCACCGGUGAGCAGCGCGGCCACGGCCAUGGCUGAGGCGCUGUUCCCGGACUCGCCGUCGGGGUUCCGGGAGCCGGAGGCUCUCAGGGUGCCGAGCUCCGGCGUGCGGCCGCGGAAGGGGGCGAGCCGGCGGCGCAGCAGCCGUGAGGAGGCCAGGGUCGACAGGGAACACGACAUGGUCAUCGUGCCAUCUGACGGCGGCGACGCGUACCUGUCCGACUCGGGCUCCGACGACUCCGACUGGUCCAUCGGCUGGCUCGAGCCGCAGGGGCCGGAGCUGCACAGCGAUGGGGACUCGGAGGGUAGCUUCGCCGUCCUUGUGCCGUGUUACCGCCGCGGCCGCCGCGUCGAGGAGCCUGGCCGCGGUAGGCUCGCCGACGACAACGUUUCCGUUGGUAGAUAAAUCAGUAUUGAGUUUGAUGGCUCAUUUGUACGGUUGCCAUGGAAAAAUCAUUUAGUUUGUGAGUUCUGUUGCCAAAAUCCUCUAAUGCAUGGUAGGAUGUGCUGUUUUGUCAAGUUCAGUUCUAGAUGGAAACCCUGAAUUCUCUGGAGAUCUGGUGAGAAGUACAUUUCCAUUACUCUAGUGUUAUCUGUUCUUGUAGUUCAUGAUUAAUUCUGUGUCAUGUGGUGUUGCUCUGCUGGUAGCGCCCACUUUAUCUCUAUGUUAGGAAGUUUUUGGCUUGGUCCUACACAUACGUCUUAGUCCUGGCUCAUUAUUGCCUCCUAAGUUAGGAAGGUCAUGCACCAAACAUGAGAGCUGCAAAUGAACAUCACCACACAAUGGUGGCAAGAAUUUUGUAGAGCGAUGGCUUUCUUCUCUUCCAAAUUGAUUACUUAUCCAUUCUUCUAUGGCUUUGACUUCUUUGGUAUUUUUAAGCGUCUCGUAUCUGUAAAUACAUCGAUGAAGACAUGAACCCCAAAAAACCAAAAAAAGAACCCAAAAAAGAAGAUUGAAAGUAGAGGAGCAGUGGCAUGAGGUUUCGACGUGAUGGUACUUUCAGGGUAAUAUUAUUUUCCAUAAUGCCACGUGCUGGCAACCAGCAAUUGAAUCAACUACGAAUUGUCAAGACUACUACUGAUCAAAUUGCUUAGAGAUGUUGAAUCUACCUGUAUGAAAUGGCAGUUUACCUCAUUUGUGUGGCUGAUAUUCUUCUGUACAUACAUGAACGCAGAAACAUUUGAGAUGAACUCCUAUGAAUUAAUCUGCAUUUCUUCUGUAAAUAAUAAACCAUCGCCGGUUUGGCGGUUUGUGAACCCCUGAAUAAACUCUAUUGUCUAUAAAAUAUAUUAUUUUUUUCACUAUA